Molecule: ribosomal RNA, 447 nt
Filed under: uncultured bacterium
Lineage: Bacteria
Description: bacterial SSU rRNA
Rfam family: Bacterial small subunit ribosomal RNA
Source: RNAcentral
CCCCAGACUCCUACGGGAGGCAGCAGUCGGGAAUAUUGCACAAUGGAGGAAACUCUGAUGCAGUGACGCCGCGUGCAGGAAGAAGGUUUUAGGAUUGUAAACUGCUUUAGACAGGGAAGAAAAAAGACAGUACCUGUAGAAUAAGCUCCGGCUAACUACGUGCCAGCAGCCGCGGUAAUACGUAGGGAGCGAGCGUUAUCCGGAAUUAUUGGGUGUAAAGGGUGCGUAGACGGGUAAAUAAGUUAGUUGUGAAAUCCCUCGGCUCAACUGAGGAACUGCAACUAAAACUGUAUAUCUUGAGUGCGGGAGAGGAAAGUGGAAUUCCUAGUGUAGCGGUGAAAUGCGUAGAUAUUAGGAGGAACACCAGUGGCGAAGGCGGCCUGCUGGACGAUGACUGACGUUGAGGCUCGAAAGCGUGGGGAGCAAACAGGAUUAGAUACCCUUGUA